GACGAACGCUGGCGGCGUGCUUAACACAUGCAAGUCGAACGGUGAAGCGCCUUCCUUUUUGGUGGGUGUGGAUGAGUGGCGAACGGGUGAGUAACACGUGAGUAACCUGCCCCCUUCUUCUGGAUAACCGCAUGAAAGUGUGGCUAAUACGGGAUAUUCUGGGUCUGUCGCAUGAUGGGUCUGGGAAAGAUAUUGUUUCGGUGGGGGAUGGGUUCGCGGCCUAUCAGCUUGUUGGUGGGGUGAUGGCCUACCAAGGCGGUGACGGGUAGCCGGCCUGAGAGGGUGGACGGUCACACUGGGACUGCGACACGGCCCAGCCUCCUACGGGAGGCAGCAGUGGGGAAUAUUGCACAAUGGGCGCAAGCCUGAUGCAGCGACGCCGCGUGAGGGAUGGAGGCCUUCGGGUUGUGAACCUCUUUCGCCAGUGAAGCAGGCCUGCCUCGUUUGUGGGUGGGUUGACGGUAGCUGGAUAAGAAGCGCCGGCUAACUACGUG
Molecule: ribosomal RNA, 494 nt
Filed under: uncultured bacterium
Lineage: Bacteria
Description: partial 16S ribosomal RNA
Rfam family: Bacterial small subunit ribosomal RNA
Source: RNAcentral